Chrysemys picta bellii (western painted turtle) is the source of this 1931-nucleotide non-coding RNA. Lineage: Eukaryota; Metazoa; Chordata; Testudines; Emydidae. The record is from RefSeq and is a predicted model, not a curated record.
GCCUGGGGCUCUGUGUACCCCCAUUUCCUCCUCUCCUCUAUGCCUGGGGCUCUGUGUACCCCCCUUUUGCCCUCCCCCUAUGCCAGGGUUCCCCAUUCUUCCUGCUCCAUGUCAGGGGCUUUGGGUGUCUCCUUCCCCCCCCACUCCAAAGUACCUUUCUUUCCCCCCCAGAUUGGAAGGGACGGCCAGACCUAUGGCCCAGUCCUGUGUUCUGUCCAUUAGACAAUGCUUCUUUCUUACUUGUUCACCUGCUGUGCCUGAGUGCUUUGCUGAAUCGGGGCCUAUGUUAACUCACGCUGCGCAUGGGAACAGGGAAUAUUGCAGAUGAUUCAUAAUGGUGAGUAUUCACGACAUAAGCCCGCUCCGAAGAGUCACCCUCGUCCCAUAAUGGGACAGAAACAUUAGUUGCGACCUCAGAGGCCAAUCAGAAUAGCUUGGAUGCUGCAGUGACGCGCUCCUGUGCGAACGUCAGCCCAAGAUUUAUUCACACCAGCUCUUCAGCGAAUAGGUUCUAACCAUGCACGAUUUGGAGAAAAUGGCAAUCUCACGGUGCUCGCUUCUUGGGCGGAAAGAGGCAAAACUAAUUAAUACGUCAUCUGAAAACAAGAGCUGUCAGACGACUGUCACAUUGUCUAGCUGUAUCAUAGUCAGGGGGGUUUCUCUUUGUUGUUCCGCUUGGCAGAGUAUCACAAUCAGAUCAGCUAUCGAAUCCCUUUUAGAAAUCAGUGUUCAUCUGAGGUCCGCGUUCAGCAAAGCACUUAGGCACGUAACUUUAAAUACAUCUAGUUCUGGGCAUAAGGGAAUCAUAAAGUUGGACGGCUGGAAGGGGUCUCGAGGGGUCAUCCAGUUCUUCAUCCUAGUCUGGGGCAGAACUCUCCCUCCCGUUCAGCUGGAGUAGAGGGGCUCUACAAGCCACCGAUCCAGUUGGGAUGGAUUCCACCAGCAGCGCCAUAAGGCUGUCCUCUGAGGAACCCUCCGUACGUCUCUGCGGUAGAGGCCAUGCCAGAGCUGGGAAGGCUGCGUCAGAGGGUGCAGCGAUUCCAGGCAGGGCCGUGGCCCAUAGGUCAGCCCCGGGAGGCUGCUGUAACUUUGACUGGCCCACGGGGGUUUCUAAAUUACAGCAAGGGCCACUGUAGUCCCCGGUGCAGCCCGGGGUCAGAAAGGCGCCAACCUCCUCUGUGCUGUGCCUCUUAGAGGCACAACUCAGAAUCUCACCUGUUGACUCUCACGGGCAGGGCCGGCUCUAGGCACCAGCGUUCCAAGCAUGUGCUUGGGGCGGCACUUCUCAAGGGGCGGCGUUCCGGCCCUCUUUUGGGGGCGGGGCUUCUUUUUUUUUUUUUUGCUUGGGGCGGCAAAAACCCUGGAGCUUAUCAUUCAAUCAGGUGCUUAAAUACCUUGCUGAAUCAGGGCUUCAUUCUGCUUUUCUUACUCAGCCAAAACUCAGUUCCCAUCGAAUUCAAGAAGAGAGUCCCCAAAGGUUAGAUUUUCAAGAUCAGGGCCUAUGUUUUUAAAAAGCACAUGGGUUUCUCGAUGGGUGGAAUCUUUUAUGCUUAUGGGAAGCAAAUCUGACUAGUCUACGAUCAGGAGUUUCCAAGUUUACUGACUGUCCUGCAGCGUGCACGGCUAGGUGUUAUGGUAGCACUUACUCACCCGAACAGUACUUGAAUGUUUACUGUAAAUGCUAACGCCUGCAAUGAAACUCACUCCAAACAUAGAUCUCCUUUCUUUCAAAAUGCAUUCAUUUAUUCCUUCCAGAAUUAUUGAUCUGACUGAUUAUGAUCAUCCAGAGGGCUGAAUGUGGAGGCCCGAAUUAUAAAAUGAAUGUACUUUGAUUCAUUUGCUUUGUAAAUUGCUUUCUCAGCAUCCAUUAUGUAGUGUUACAUCGCUCAUUCUCUUAAAGGAAUAGUCUCAGUGGAAGUUUCUUCUUUGAA